RNAcentral lists this long non-coding RNA (697 nucleotides) under Phoenix dactylifera (date palm). Its description in RNAcentral is "long non-coding RNA (PDAC_LNC014050)". The record is from RNAcentral. Lineage: Eukaryota; Viridiplantae; Streptophyta; Magnoliopsida; Arecales; Arecaceae.
GCGAGGACUAUUACUGAUGGGCUGACGAGCCGACUGGACAUCAUGACUGCGGAGAUCAGUGAUCUGAGGCAGCAGGUAGGAGCACUCCGGAGAGAGAGAGAGACCCAUGGACCUUCUGUGCCACAGGCUGCUGAGUCAGAGAUAUCGGCACAGAGUCAUCCAGCUCGUCGUGCUCCACGCCAGACACAGUCUCAUCAGGCUCGACCUCCCCUCGCCACGUACACUAGGAGGAUGAGGACUAGAUCCCAGCCAUUAGAUACUCCCUAGGCAGAUAUUAGCAUUUCUGGUUAGAGCCUAGGCUAGAUAUCUAGUUCUCAUAUGUAUUUUGCUUUUAUCAUAUAUGUUUAAACUUUGAUUAAGGAACAUUGUAUCUGUUUUUGUUUUUGGGCAUGAAUGUACUGAAAUGUUCCUAUUUUGAUCAAGGAAGUUUGAAUGCUUGUUAUUUAUUGUGUCUUUUCCCAUGCAUCUAUUUGAUGAUAACAAAAAGGGGGAGAAGUAAAGAAAGAGUAAUGUAAUGGGGGGAGAAGUAAAGACAGAGUGAUAAGAGAAGUAAAGAAAGAAGGAGAAAUAACGAAAUAACUUGUAAAACAACUUGAAAAUCAUAUAGGAAAGCAUAUGCAUCCAAGGGGGAGCAAUUUGCAGCAAUGAAAAUGAUCAAGUCAAAAAUUUCUAUCAAAUUUCAGAAUUUGGCACAUAG